CCUACGGGUGGCAGCAGUGGGGAAUAUUGGGCAAUGGGCGCAAGCCUGACCCAGCAACGCCGCGUGAAGGAAGAAGGCCCUCGGGUUGUAAACUUCUUUUAUUCGGGACGAAACAAAUCACGGUACCGAAUGAAUAAGUCACGGCUAACUACGUGCCAGCAGCCGCGUUAAUACGUAGGUGGCAAGCUUUACCCGGAUUUACUGGGGGUAAAGGGCGUGUAGGCGGGAGGGCAAGUCAGACGUGAAAUUCCAGGGCUCAACCAUGGAACUGCGUUUGAAACUGGUAUUCUUGAGUGAGGGAGAGGCAGGCGGAAUUCCGUGUGUAGCGGUGAAAUGCGUAGAUAUACGGAGGAACACCAGUGGCGAAGGCGGCCUGCUGGACAAUAACUGACGCUGAGGCGCGAAAGCGUGGGGAGCAAACAGGAUUAGAUACCCGUGUAGUC
This 443-nucleotide ribosomal RNA is filed under the name uncultured bacterium. RNAcentral describes it as "partial 16S ribosomal RNA". It matches the Rfam family "Bacterial small subunit ribosomal RNA", at positions 338 to 795 of the family's 1533-position model. The record is from RNAcentral.